This 271-nucleotide ribosomal RNA is filed under the name uncultured bacterium. RNAcentral's name for it is "partial 16S ribosomal RNA". It matches the Rfam family "Bacterial small subunit ribosomal RNA", at positions 524 to 794 of the family's 1533-position model. The record is from RNAcentral.
UACGAAGGGGGCUAGCGUUGUUCGGAAUCACUGGGCGUAAAGCGUACGUAGGCGGAUGCUUAAGUCAGAGGUGAAAGCCUGGAGCUCAACUCCAGAACUGCCUUUGAUACUGGGCGUCUUGAGUCCGGGAGAGGUGAGUGGAACUGCUAGUGUAGAGGUGAAAUUCGUAGAUAUUAGCAAGAACACCAGUGGCGAAGGCGGCUCACUGGCCCGGUACUGACGCUGAGGUACGAAAGCGUGGGGAGCAAACAGGAUUAGAUACCCCGGUAGU